GACGAACGCUGGCGGCGUGCCUAAUACAUGCAAGUUGAGCGCUGAAGGUUGGUACUUGUACCAACUGGAUGAGCAGCGAACGGGUGAGUAACGCGUGGGGAAUCUGCCUUUGAGCGGGGGACAACAUUUGGAAACGAAUGCUAAUACCGCAUAAAAACUUUAAACACAAGUUUUAAGUUUGAAAGAUGCAAUUGCAUCACUCAAAGAUGAUCCCGCGUUGUAUUAGCUAGUUGGUGAGGUAAAGGCUCACCAAGGCGAUGAUACAUAGCCGACCUGAGAGGGUGAUCGGCCACAUUGGGACUGAGACACGGCCCAAACUCCUACGGGAGGCAGCAGUAGGGAAUCUUCGGCAAUGGACGAAAGUCUGACCGAGCAGCGCCGCGUGAGUGAAGAAGGUUUUCGGAUCGUAAAACUCUGUUGGUAGAGAAGAACGUUGGUGAGAGUGGAAAGCUCAUCAAGUGACGGUAACUACCCAGAAAGGGACGGCUAACUACGUG
Molecule: ribosomal RNA, 497 nt
Filed under: uncultured bacterium
Lineage: Bacteria
Description: partial 16S ribosomal RNA
Rfam family: Bacterial small subunit ribosomal RNA
Source: RNAcentral